ACGCUCGACACCUACGGGAGGCAGCAGUGGGGAAUAUUGCACAAUGGGGGAAACCCUGAUGCAGCGACGCCGCGUGAGCGAAGAAGUAUUUCGGUAUGUAAAGCUCUAUCAGCAGGGAAGAAACUGACGGUACCUGACUAAGAAGCACCGGCUAAAUACGUGCCAANGCCGCGGUAAUCUGAGCGGGCGUGGCAAGGC
RNAcentral lists this ribosomal RNA (198 nucleotides) under uncultured bacterium. RNAcentral describes it as "partial 16S ribosomal RNA". It matches the Rfam family "Bacterial small subunit ribosomal RNA", at positions 328 to 538 of the family's 1533-position model. The record is from RNAcentral.